Molecule: ribosomal RNA, 293 nt
Filed under: uncultured bacterium
Lineage: Bacteria
Description: partial 16S ribosomal RNA
Rfam family: Bacterial small subunit ribosomal RNA
Source: RNAcentral
GAUGAACGCUAGCGGCAGGCUUAAUACAUGCAAGUCGAGGGGCAGCACGAAUAGCAAUAUUUGGUGGCGACCGGCAAACGGGUGCGGAACACGUACAGAACCUUCCUUCGAGCGGGGAAUAGCCCGAAGAAAUUCGGAUUAAUACCCCAUAGUAAAUUGAAAAGGCAUCUUUUUAAUUUUAAAGUAUUAUCACUUGAAGAUGGCUGUGCGCCUGAUUAGGUAGUUGGCGGGGUAACGGCCCACCAAGCCUCGCGAUCAGUAACUGGUGUGAGAGCACGACCAGUCACACGGGC